AUUUUAGUGGUGUAGUGGUAACGCGCCUGUCUAUUGAGUAGGAGCCGUGAGUUCAAGUAUCCCCAAAGAUU
Non-coding RNA from Aedes albopictus (Asian tiger mosquito), 71 nucleotides. The record is from Rfam. NCBI's taxonomy places the organism in Eukaryota, Metazoa, Arthropoda, Insecta, Diptera, Culicidae.